AUAGGGAGCAGUGCAGUGCUUGAGCUCUUUGUGCAAAUAGCGGGAGCCCUGGAAAAUCUAUCGCGUUACCGUACAUGUCAAGGACGAGAACGAGAGUGUGGACGAAAUAGGCGUCCGAACUGUCUUGAAAAAAACCAUCAACCCUACUUCCAAUGCAGCCUGAUGAAUGAACAUUGUGAAGUUGCUUGGAAAUCAUAUUGCAGACGACCUUAUUUCCUGACAUGCUAUGAUGGGUAUACAUAUUGCGACUGCGUAUGUGUACGCCCACGAAGACCCAGAGGAGUGCCUCGGUAACGAUGUCGAACAACCUCUUAAACAUCUCAAGGAGUUUGUGUGGCGCAUGAUUUUCUCCGUGGAGUGUUGCACAUCAGAGCAGCCCUUGGUCUGCCUAAUUGCAAGCAAUAAAGGAUGACCUUUCGUA
Molecule: long non-coding RNA, 421 nt
Organism: Rhipicephalus microplus (southern cattle tick)
Lineage: Eukaryota; Metazoa; Arthropoda; Arachnida; Ixodida; Ixodidae
Source: RefSeq, a predicted model, not a curated record